Petromyzon marinus (sea lamprey) is the source of this 71-nucleotide non-coding RNA. Lineage: Eukaryota; Metazoa; Chordata; Hyperoartia; Petromyzontiformes; Petromyzontidae. The record is from Rfam.
CGUCACGCCGAGCCCGACGCGCAAUGCUGGCCGCCGCUGUGCGCGCUUUGUUCGUUCGGCUCGCGUUACGC